Long non-coding RNA from Galeopterus variegatus (Sunda flying lemur), 965 nucleotides. RefSeq lists it as uncharacterized. The transcript has 2 exons. NCBI's taxonomy places the organism in Eukaryota, Metazoa, Chordata, Mammalia, Dermoptera, Cynocephalidae. The record is from RefSeq and is a predicted model, not a curated record.
UUAAAAAUCAGUGUCACUUUAAGGCUCAAUAUUUUUUAUUUCUGAGCAGGUAAGUAGAGGCAGACAAGAAAGAAUAGGGAGCUGAGGCAAUUAAAAAAAGCAGAAUGCAAGAAAACUUUUUUUAAAAAUGGUAUUUUUUCUAGCACUGAUUUAUAAGAAUAGGAGAUAUGAAUUCUCAUUAUCCAAAACUAUAAGUGAUUUCAUAAAGUCACUUAUAACCUGACUCAAAUCUCAUGGGCUCCUUUAUUAACCUAAAUUAUUUUUGCCUUGUUAAAUAUACCUCUGCAGGGCACAAUCACAUACAAUCAAUACGAUUGGUAAAUUACACAAGCUCUAUCCCAAGCAAAUAUGCAUCAAUGUUAAAAAGUUAUUUUCUUAAAAAACAAACAAAAUAAAACAAAAUAAAAUCCACCCAAAAAGGUGAUAAUGACUGCAGAAUGUCUCCGGGAGACUGGUAUGAGCCUAAAGACCAAACUGACCGUAGUCAGGGGAAAAAGGUGGCAGGGGAACAAGGGGAGAAGACCACACACGAAGAGGAAUCUCACAACUGGAAAAUGUUUAAGUGGGUGAAAGGUUUUGUUCAUUACCUUAAUUUAUUUUUUCCAUUGCUUUUGUUCCAGAGGCACAGAUUCAUCAUAAAUAAGAUAAUGAGGCCCAUAAACUAAAAAAUAAAGUGAAAAAAAAUUUUUUUUCUCAAGUUCCUCUCAUUCCCAGAAGGUGGGAAGAGGAGAAAGGAUAAAAGGGGGAGAAACAUGAAAAUUUAUACAAUAAAUCUGGAAAAAAUAACUCUCAGGACAGUGUUUUUGUUGAACAGAGGAUGUAAAACUGAUAAGCAAAAGCUUUAAAUGCCUUUAAAUCAGAGGAAUAUUUUACAGGGUGGUUCAGAUAUUAUUGUGAGAAUGGUAGCCACUCAAUGGAGAGCGAUUACACUAAUAAAAUGGGGAUUUAAAAAAAUCAGCCCCCCC